RNAcentral lists this long non-coding RNA (1171 nucleotides) under Sorghum bicolor (sorghum). RNAcentral's name for it is "long non-coding RNA (SBIC_LNC006267)". The record is from RNAcentral. Lineage: Eukaryota; Viridiplantae; Streptophyta; Magnoliopsida; Poales; Poaceae.
UGUGUAUAUAUAUUAUUCUCAAAAUUCUAAAAAAUAUAUGUACAAAUAUAUAGAGAGCGAGGGAGAAUCUAUUAUAUAUGAUAUCUCCACUCCGCAUACAUAAUCAGAAGAGCUAGUUUCACUUGGGAGAUAAAUUUUGUCUUCCAUUAUUUAAGCUCCGUCUAUAAAUUUUACAUGUGCAUCUCUACUUUUUUAAGAUAAAGGAUAGAUUCUAUUAGGCAUUAUCUAUCAACGGAUAGAAUCAAGCUAACUAUUACAAGUCACGCCCGAGGGCACGAGACUACAAAAACUGUUUAAAGCCGAGCAAUUGGAAAAACAAAACGAGAAAAAAAAUUUGACUAAAGAAGACCAAUACACCUAGUUGACAACCAGCCAUUGGAACUAAAGAACUGCAAAGCCGAUAUCUCUAGCUGACUUUCAACUAGGACCAGCAGGUCCCUUAUAUCGUCACCCGUUGUAAUGUGUUUUUUUAGAAGACCUUUUACAAUGGUUAGAAUCGCUUUCAAUCGCCUCCCAUUGCCUUCGCUAAAAAACUUUUUUUCUUGAUUUAAUUCGUGGAAGGGUAAUAACGUCAUUGUACAAGGUUCUCUCAAACCUCCCCUAUCAUCAGCGGCAACGGAUCCCUGUAACACGCACUGGUGGAUGCUGGCGGGUGGAACCCUAAGAAGAUUUUAAAAAAAAAACUUUAGAAAAAGGUAUUUAUCUAACUAACUAUAGUACUUAAAUCAUACACCCUAACUAUGCUACUCAAAAUAUUAUUUUUACAAUUAUGAAUUUACCUUUUUAUCCUUCAUUAAAAAAAGAAAUACAAAAAAGGAAUUAUCGCUCCUCUAUUUAGGGUCCUAAUCCCCAUAAUUUUGGAGGCGAUGAGAGGCGAUGUGACGUUUACAGCCCACCGACUAUAGACACACAUAUCGUCUCCCAUCGCCUUGCUCCCAUCGCCUCUCAUCAGAUUUUAUGUUCUAGGUCCACCGAUCAUAGACAUCGCUUCUCAUUAUCUCACCAACCAUUGUAAAAAUAUUAUUUUUAGAAAUGUGAAGAACUUCCUUUUGUUUCCUGAAAAAGCAGGACAACAAGAAAUCAUUGCUGCAUUAGUUAAACAAUCAUGAGCACACACAAACAAAUUUUAACAGUCAAGAUAAAAAAACAUUGGAUAUGUAGUUGGAGACCC